UGGGCAGCGGCGACCAAAAAAUCGGCGGCGGCAGUGGCUUUUCCGGCGAGAAAUUGGGACGGUUUCGAGGCGCAAUCGAGCGAGAGCGAAGGGGGAAAAGAAGGAGGGGGUCGAGGGCUUCAAACCGACACGCUCAGUUUCGAAGAUGGGGCGGCGUGCGCGGAGAAAAAGGAGGUGGCGUCGUGGGUGCAGACUCGGGUCGUCGCCGGAGAAAUCAGGGGUGGCAGUUAGAGAAGAAGACCCUGACAGUGGGUCCCGCCCAUCAGCGUCAGCGGCUCAGGCGCACGCGUGGGCGGGGCUGCGGACUGGUGCGGUCGGGCGCGCGAGGUAAGUGGGCCGGUUCGCCCAUUUGGCCGGGCCGGCCGUUGUUCUCUUUUUUUUUCUUCAUUUCUUUUUCUAUUUUCUGUUUUUGAACACAAAUUUUGAUUCGAAGCUCAAAAUCAAACCAAAAAAAUGCAACAAAAUUUGUAAAAUCACAUUUUCAUAUGAUUCAACUUUUGGGACAAGAAUUCCCUCAAAAUAAAAUAUUUAAAAAUAUUUUUGCCUAUAAACUAGCCUGUAGGGCUUUUUAACUAUUAAAAUAAUUAGUGAUUCAAAUCAAAUUCAAAUGCCAAGAUAUGGGGUAGAUUUAUAAAUGCAUU
This 641-nucleotide long non-coding RNA is filed under the name Brachypodium distachyon (stiff brome). RNAcentral describes it as "long non-coding RNA (BDIS_LNC004646)". Lineage: Eukaryota; Viridiplantae; Streptophyta; Magnoliopsida; Poales; Poaceae. The record is from RNAcentral.